UCGAAUGAAUGUAUGUAAAUGCUGUGGAACAGUGCUCAUGUAAUAAUGUAGUCACAUUAUUGACUACAUUAUUACAUGAGCAGUGUUCCACAGCAUUUGAUAUUUUCAUUUAUACACAUUGACU
Molecule: non-coding RNA, 124 nt
Organism: Podarcis lilfordi (Lilford's wall lizard)
Lineage: Eukaryota; Metazoa; Chordata; Lepidosauria; Squamata; Lacertidae
Source: the annotation of a GenBank genome assembly